Molecule: ribosomal RNA, 989 nt
Filed under: Kocuria rosea
Lineage: Bacteria; Bacillati; Actinomycetota; Actinomycetes; Micrococcales; Micrococcaceae
Description: bacterial SSU rRNA
Rfam family: Bacterial small subunit ribosomal RNA
Source: RNAcentral
AGUCGAACGAUGAUGCCCAGCUUGCUGGGCGGAUUAGUGGCGAACGGGUGAGUAAUACGUGAGUAACCUGCCCUUGACUCUGGGAUAAGCCUGGGAAACUGGGUCUAAUACUGGAUACUACCUCUUGCCGCAUGGUGGGUGGUGGAAAGGGUUUUACUGGUUUUGGAUGGGCUCACGGCCUAUCAGCUUGUUGGUGGGGUAAUGGCUCACCAAGGCGACGACGGGUAGCCGGCCUGAGAGGGUGACCGGCCACACUGGGACUGAGACACGGCCCAGACUCCUACGGGAGGCAGCAGUGGGGAAUAUUGCACAAUGGGCGGAAGCCUGAUGCAGCGACGCCGCGUGAGGGAUGACGGCCUUCGGGUUGUAAACCUCUUUCAGUAGGGAAGAAGCGAGAGUGACGGUACCUGCAGAAGAAGCGCCGGCUAACUACGUGCCAGCAGCCGCGGUAAUACGUAGGGCGCAAGCGUUGUCCGGAAUUAUUGGGCGUAAAGAGCUCGUAGGCGGUUUGUCGCGUCUGCUGUGAAAGCCCGGGGCUCAACCCCGGGUCUGCAGUGGGUACGGGCAGACUAGAGUGCAGUAGGGGAGACUGGAAUUCCUGGUGUAGCGGUGAAAUGCGCAGAUAUCAGGAGGAACACCGAUGGCGAAGGCAGGUCUCUGGGCUGUUACUGACGCUGAGGAGCGAAAGCAUGGGGAGCGAACAGGAUUAGAUACCCUGGUAGUCCAUGCCGUAAACGUUGGGCACUAGGUGUGGGGGACAUUCCACGUUUUCCGCGCCGUAGCUAACGCAUUAAGUGCCCCGCCUGGGGAGUACGGCCGCAAGGCUAAAACUCAAAGGAAUUGACGGGGGCCCGCACAAGCGGCGGAGCAUGCGGAUUAAUUCGAUGCAACGCGAAGAACCUUACCAAGGCUUGACAUUCACCGGACCGCCCCAGAGAUGGGGUUUCCCUUCGGGGCUGGUGGACAGGUGGUGCAUGGUUGUCGUCAGC